RNAcentral lists this ribosomal RNA (512 nucleotides) under Citrobacter freundii. RNAcentral's name for it is "bacterial SSU rRNA". It matches the Rfam family "Bacterial small subunit ribosomal RNA", at positions 88 to 595 of the family's 1533-position model. The record is from RNAcentral. Lineage: Bacteria; Pseudomonadati; Pseudomonadota; Gammaproteobacteria; Enterobacterales; Enterobacteriaceae.
CUGACGAGUGGCGGACGCCCUGAGUAAUGUCUGGGAAACUGCCCGAUGGAGGGGGAUAACUACUGGAAACGGUAGCUAAUACCGCAUAAUGUCGCAAGACCAAAGAGGGGGACCUUCGGGCCUCUUGCCAUCGGAUGUGCCCAGAUGGGAUUAGCUUGUUGGUGAGGUAACGGCUCACCAAGGCGACGAUCCCUAGCUGGUCUGAGAGGAUGACCAGCCACACUGGAACUGAGACACGGUCCAGACUCCUACGGGAGGCAGCAGUGGGGAAUAUUGCACAAUGGGCGCAAGCCUGAUGCAGCCAUGCCGCGUGUAUGAAGAAGGCCUUCGGGUUGUAAAGUACUUUCAGCGGGGAGGAAGGGGUUAAGGUUAAUAACCUUAGCCAUUGACGUUACCCGCAGAAGAAGCACCGGCUAACUCCGUGCCAGCAGCCGCGGUAAUACGGAGGGUGCAAGCGUUAAUCGGAAUUACUGGGCGUAAAGCGCACGCAGGCGGUCUGUCAAGUCGGAUGU